Molecule: ribosomal RNA, 852 nt
Filed under: uncultured fungus
Lineage: Eukaryota; Fungi
Description: SSU rRNA
Rfam family: Eukaryotic small subunit ribosomal RNA
Source: RNAcentral
GUAGUCAUAUGCUUGUCUCAAAGAUUAAGCCAUGCAUGUCUAAGUAUAAGCAAUCUAUACGGUGAAACUGCGAAUGGCUCAUUAAAUCAGUUAUCGUUUAUUUGAUAGUACCUUACUACAUGGAUAACCGUGGUAAUUCUAGAGCUAAUACAUGCUAAAAACCCCGACUUCGGAAGGGGUGUAUUUAUUAGAUAAAAAACCAAUGCCCUUCGGGGCUCCUUGGUGAUUCAUAAUAACUUAACGAAUCGCAUGGCCUUGCGCCGGCGAUGGUUCAUUCAAAUUUCUGCCCUAUCAACUUUCGAUGGUAGGAUAGUGGCCUACCAUGGUAUCAACGGGUAACGGGGAAUUAGGGUUCGAUUCCGGAGAGGGAGCCUGAGAAACGGCUACCACAUCCAAGGAAGGCAGCAGGCGCGCAAAUUACCCAAUCCCGACACGGGGAGGUAGUGACAAUAAAUACUGAUACAGGGCUCUUUUGGGUCUUGUAAUUGGAAUGAGUACAAUUUAAAUCCCUUAACGAGGAACAAUUGGAGGGCAAGUCUGGUGCCAGCAGCCGCGGUAAUUCCAGCUCCAAUAGCGUAUAUUAAAGUUGUUGCAGUUAAAAAGCUCGUAGUUGAACCUUGGGCCUGGCUGGCCGGUCCGCCUCACCGCGUGUACUGGUCCGGCCGGGCCUUUCCUUCUGGGGAUCCGCAUGCCCUUCACUGGGUGUGCCGGGGAACCAGGACUUUUACUUUGAAAAAAUUAGAGUGUUCAAAGCAGGCCUUUGCUCGAAUACAUUAGCAUGGAAUAAUAGGAUAGGACGUGCGUCUCUAUUUUGUUGGUUUCUAGGGACGCCGUAAUGAUAAUAGGGACAGU